This 384-nucleotide ribosomal RNA is filed under the name uncultured bacterium. RNAcentral's name for it is "bacterial SSU rRNA". It matches the Rfam family "Bacterial small subunit ribosomal RNA", at positions 29 to 414 of the family's 1533-position model. The record is from RNAcentral.
AUUGAACGCUGGCGGCAUGCCUUACACAUGCAAGUCGAACGGCAGCACGGGAGCAAUCCCGGUGGCGAGUGGCGAACGGGUGAGUAAUAUAUCGGAACGUGCCCAGUCGUGGGGGAUAACGUAGCGAAAGCUACGCUAAUACCGCAUACGAUCUAUGGAUGAAAGCGGGGGAUCGCAAGACCUCGCGCGAUUGGAGCGGCCGAUAUCAGAUUAGGUAGUUGGUGAGGUAAAGGCUCACCAAGCCGACGAUCUGUAGCUGGUCUGAGAGGACGACCAGCCACACUGGGACCGAGACACGGCCCAGACUCCUACGGGAGGCAGCAGUGGGGAAUUUUGGACAAUGGGCGCAAGCCUGAUCCAGCAAUGCCGCGUGCAGGAUGAAGG